RNAcentral lists this long non-coding RNA (3409 nucleotides) under Sus scrofa (pig). RNAcentral describes it as "lncRNA (ENSSSCG00000063301.1)". Lineage: Eukaryota; Metazoa; Chordata; Mammalia; Artiodactyla; Suidae. The record is from RNAcentral.
GUCUUUUUGCCUUUUCUUGGGCCGCUUCCUGCAGCAUAUGGAGGUUCCCAGGCUAGGGGUCCAAUCGGAGCUGUAGCUGCCAGCCUACACCACAGCCACAGCAACUCGGCAACACCGGAUCCUUAACCCACUGAGCAAGGCCAGGGAUCAAACCCACAACCUCAUGGUUCCUAGUCGGAUUCGUUAACCACUGUGCCAUGAUAGGAACUCCUCAACUAUCAGUUUUGAACUGGACAUUUUAUUUGCUGGAAGAAGGAAGGAGAGACUGGCUGUACUGAUGUCUUCAGAUAUCAGAUAUUACAACUUUAAAACUCUUGGGAGUUCCCAAGUGUUAAGGACUGGUGGCUCAGUGGGUUAAGGACUAGCAUUGUCAAUGCUGUGGCACGGGUUUGAUGCCUGGCCUGGGCACUUCAGCAUGUCACGGGUACCGCCAAAAGUAAAUAAAAUUUUCUUUACUAUUUCUCUGUGCCACAGAAUCUGUUGCUGGAUUUGGGGAGAGAAAUCACUUCCUUGCUAUUUGUUUUGACCUUCCACACACAGACACCCAUAAACACACUCUCAUGGAUCUCAGAGGGGAUCAGAUAGUUGCAGAGAACUAGAAACACAGUGUGUGCCCCAGCAUCACCCGAGGCUUGCCCAGAUCAGGAGCAGCUCAGCAGCGCAGGUGAAUCAGGAGCAGCUCAGCAGCACAGGGGAAGGUGGGCGGGCUCUCCCCCUCCACCCAGGGCAGGGGCUGCCAGCUGAGGGCAGGAAGGGCAGGGCCCCACCACAACAGGGGAUACACCCCCUUCCCAAGAUGUAAAUCCACAGAAGAACAUCCUUGAGGGUUUAAAGGAUGCCCUUUAAACCAAAUACCAGCCAGGAUAUUUCAAAAUCAAGCUAAUUAAUUUUUAUACAAUGCCAGUGCACAGACUGAAUUUCAUUUGCUAAGAUAAGUAUAGAAAGGUUUUUUUGUUUUGUGUGUGUGUGUGUGUGUGUGUGUGGUAGAAGCCUUACCUCUUGGUCGUGAUUUUUUUUCUAAACACCAUCCCAUUCAACAAAAACAAAUACAUGCUCCCCAAACGUCCAACACCAAAGACACUAAGUUCUCUUUUGGAGCGAGUCUGAUGCAUCUGAUUGUGUUUUUCUUUUCUCUAUUUCACUUUCUCCUCAUUCAAAGGAAGAGGCGGCAAAUGAGAAAUUAAAGGCAGCAAGAAAACAAGGGAGAUGACAGAAAGCAUUAAUUUUAGAUAAGAACCUUAAUCGAUGGGCAAAAGAAGAAUCUACAUUUUAAAAUCAUACUGGAAAAAGAAUUAUUCACUAAAAUAAAGUUUUCAAAUAUUACCAAAACCGGAAUGAAAAGAAUAGUGAGGGUUUUAAGGUAGAGAACCCCAGUCCCACAGUUCCUAUGUACCAAUAUCUCCAGAAUGAAUUUUACAACAAGGAGGAGUUUACCAGCCACCACCAUUCACAACCAACGUGACACUGUUGGGGAGAAAAUAACACAACUCAGAAGAAUGCUCUCUCUUAUUCACCUUCACAUGAAAGAUGGCCAAGGCAAACUUGAAAAACCAGCCCAGCAUCUCUAUGUAUGUGUGUUUUAUAAUUUAAGCAAUUCAUAUUUUCUUUUUUACCUGGCACAUGGUAUACCAAUAAGAUGAAUGCCUGUCAGAAUAAAUACUCAAGUCACCUUGAAUUCUAGUGCCUGACCUCAACGGCACGGCCACCUGUUCUCUGCCAUAUCAUGAUUAAGUAAAAGCAUCCCUAGACAUAAAGAGUGGCAUUAAGCAUAGCUCUAAACAAAAAUUUCAUAUCAACAAUGAUAAGGAUAAGAGCUGCAUUCAAACUCCUGCAAAGCAAGGAUAAUCAAGUAUUUAAGCCUUCCGUGGUGAUGGAGUUAAAUAAGGUACAAACACUUCUUUUCAGGUAAACUCAAAGUUAAACGAGAAGACCACACCUUGUCUUCAAAAUUGAGAAGACAGUUGCAGGUUCCUUUUUUUUACACAAACAUUGGCACUAAGAAUAGAGAACUUGGCUCCUAGGACACAGAUAAGUACCAGUUCCUCCAAAGAAAGAGAAACUGCUAUCCUGAAAUUCCCUGGGGAAAUAGGGAAGCAAAACCACAAAGCACACGACACAAAAAGCAACUGCUUACGUGAAUGAGAUCAAAAGCCACUCUAAAUAGUACAUCACAAGAAAUACGGCAACUCUAUGUAUCAGAGAGAAUGACUGACAAUUCCCACAUAUUAACAGCACAAAGAAUUUCCCGAGGUGCUCAAAUCAUGAGACCUUCCGUGACACUGAAGAGAAAUGGGCUUCAACUUAACAAGCGGUUGGUUAUUAAUUUGGCUUAAUAAAUAGAUACGGCACCCCAUCAAAAAGACACGUGUGAAAGGCUUGGCAGGGGAGAAUCCUGCCACUCAAGAUUCAUUCUAACAGAAGAGCGGGCUUACCUGGUGGCAAAGAGGAACAUCCUAGAUAACAACCCUCUGGCCAACUGCAAGUCAUACUCAGGAGUGGGAUAAAAAGCCAUUUCACCCUGUGACUGCUCUAUCUGCUCCUCGAUUCUCAACGAUUCCAGGCGGUUCCAUGCGCCUCCCCUCAGAGGGCCUGAACUGACCGGAACACACUAAGCUUCAUGUAUGUGGGAGGGGCUCAUUGCCAGCCACUUCUGUAAAUUGCCCAGUAAAAGUCAACUCCUGCUCUCUAAGAGGAAAGGAGAGAAAGAGACGCUUGGUAACUCUCUGAGAAGAGCCAGCAUCAUCAGACAACAACACACAGCUUGGAAAGGCCAGAAUUCUAGGCUGUGGGCAGGAGGAGGAGGAGGCAAGGAAGGAAAAUCAUCUGUGGAAAAAAUGCAUCAAACUGCAAUAAGGAAGUUUUCUUUUUAAUUGAUCUCCUCUGCUAAACCCACGUCCUCCUCCACAGGCAAAAAUGCCGCUGUCUGCAAAAAUGUCUGUUAAUGGCUUGAAGCUUCCCACAGUGGGCGAGGCGACUGAAGGCAGUCCUACACCAACAUCCACUGAGGCUCCCUGACACACCGGGGCGGCAGUACAGGGACAGAACUCAUUGCCAACAGAAAUGCAAGUGCCAGCUGAGCUCACCUUGCUGCCCAUUUGAGAAUGAAUGAAGUCAGAGCCUGAGCGUCUAUUACCCAUUCACCUCAAUUCCCUUUCUAGAGCCCACAUGGCCACGUAUGGGUAAGUGCUUCCUGAUGAGAUGGGAAAGUCCUUAUAAUGAUGGUGACCCUCGGUGGCGGGUGAGGAAGGGAUGAGAACUUCAUGGAGGAAGCACUGGCUGGGGAAAAUCUCUGAGUUUUUUUUUUUUGUUUUGUUUUGUUUUGUUUUUUUUGGUGUUUUCUAGGACUGUUCCUGCGGCAUAUGGAGAUUCCCAGGCUAGGGGUCGAAUCGGAGCUGUAGCCACAGGCCUA